AUUGAACGCUGGCGGCAUGCUUUACACAUGCAAGUCGAACGGCAGCACGGGCUUCGGCCUGGUGGCGAGUGGCGAACGGGUGAGUAAUGCAUCGGAACGUACCGUGUAGUGGGGGAUAACGUAGCGAAAGUUACGCUAAUACCGCAUACGCCCCGAGGGGGAAAGUGGGGGACCGCAAGGCCUCACGCUAUAUGAGCGGCCGAUGUCGGAUUAGCUAGUUGGUAGGGUAAAGGCCUACCAAGGCGACGAUCCGUAGCGGGUCUGAGAGGAUGAUCCGCCACACUGGGACUGAGACACGGCCCAGACUCCUACGGGAGGCGGCAGUGGGGAAUUUUGGACAAUGGGGGCAACCCUGAUCCAGCCAUGCCGCGUGAGUGAAGAAGGCCUUCGGGUUGGUUAAAGACGUCUUUCUAGACGGAAAGAAAUACGCAUCCUCUAAUACGGGUGUGGAUGACGGUACCGUAAGAAGAAGACACCGGCUAACUACGUGCCAGCAGCCGCGGUAAGU
Molecule: ribosomal RNA, 508 nt
Filed under: uncultured bacterium
Lineage: Bacteria
Description: bacterial SSU rRNA
Rfam family: Bacterial small subunit ribosomal RNA
Source: RNAcentral